GGAAUCUUGCGCAAUGGAGGAAACUCUGACGCAGUGACGCCGCGUGCAGGAAGAAGGUUUUCGGAUUGUAAACUGCUUUAGACAGGGAAGAAAAAGACAGUACCUGUAGAAUAAGCGCCGGCUAACUACGUGCCAGCAGCCGCGGUAAUACGUAGGGAGCGAGCGUUAUCCGGAUUUAUUGGGUGUAAAGGGUGCGUAGACGGGAAGUUAAGUUAGUUGUGAAAUCCCCAGGCUCAACUUGGGAACUGCAACUAAAACUGGCAUUCUUGAGUGUCGGAGAGGAAAGUGGAAUUCCUAGUGUAGCGGUGAAAUGCGUAGAUAUUAGGAGGAACACCAGUGGCGAAGGCGACUUUCUGGACGGUAACUGACGUUGAGGCACGAAAGUGUGGGGAGCAAACA
RNAcentral lists this ribosomal RNA (399 nucleotides) under uncultured bacterium. RNAcentral's name for it is "bacterial SSU rRNA". It matches the Rfam family "Bacterial small subunit ribosomal RNA", at positions 358 to 774 of the family's 1533-position model. The record is from RNAcentral.